UACGGAGGAUGCGAGCGUUAUCCGGAUUUAUUGGGUUUAAAGGGUGCGCAGGCGGCACGGCAAGCCGGCGGUCAAAUCGCGGGGCUCAACCCCGCCCAGCCGUCGGAACUGCCGGGCUAGAGUGGGCGAGAAGUGCGCGGAAUGCGUGGUGUAGCGGUGAAAUGCAUAGAUAUCACGCAGAACUCCGAUUGCGAAGGCAGCGCACCGGCGCCCUACUGACGCUCAGGCACGAAAGCGUGGGUACCGAACAGG
Molecule: ribosomal RNA, 252 nt
Filed under: uncultured bacterium
Lineage: Bacteria
Description: partial 16S ribosomal RNA
Rfam family: Bacterial small subunit ribosomal RNA
Source: RNAcentral